CAUAACUCUAUUACAAGGCUUAUUUUAAUGAUUUUGUUCAGUGUUAAAGGGUUUUUCUGGGUUUAUGUGGGAGUAGCACAUUGACCGGGGAUGAUAACCCAUAAAUUCCUUUCUCAGUGUUGAAAGAUAACUGCCUCUUGUGGCUGUUGCCAGGAAGAACAUUGCCUGAGACACUUCUCCGUGGAGACAGG
Molecule: long non-coding RNA, 191 nt
Organism: Ochotona princeps (American pika)
Lineage: Eukaryota; Metazoa; Chordata; Mammalia; Lagomorpha; Ochotonidae
Exons: 2
Source: RefSeq, a predicted model, not a curated record